ACGGUGGACCGUAGAGCAUGCGUG
Molecule: microRNA, 24 nt
Filed under: Eptesicus fuscus (big brown bat)
Lineage: Eukaryota; Metazoa; Chordata; Mammalia; Chiroptera; Vespertilionidae
Description: efu-miR-411
Gene: efu-miR-411
Source: miRBase by way of RNAcentral